This 204-nucleotide long non-coding RNA is filed under the name Olea europaea (common olive). RNAcentral's name for it is "long non-coding RNA (OEUR_LNC004769)". The record is from RNAcentral. Lineage: Eukaryota; Viridiplantae; Streptophyta; Magnoliopsida; Lamiales; Oleaceae.
CCACAUUUUUGGCAAUAAAAACCCCACUAAAUUGAAGCAUUUAACCUCAAACUUAAAUGACACCCAUGUUUUCUCUCUUAAAUGAAAUUUGACCCUUCAUUUGCUUUAAGUUAUGAGAUAUUUACCUAUAAAUAGAGACCUCAUUUCACUCAUUUUUUCUCACACCAAAAGCAAGAGCUUUUACAUACUAAAGAAAGAGUUUCC